AGGCUAUGUUUAGUUCAUGAUUGGAAUAGUAGUGAAAAAUGAAAUUAGAUUGUAUUGGAAUGGAAAAUGAAACGAUGAAUCACUUAAAAAUAUUUCUUUCAUUAUUGAUAUAGAAAUGGGAAUAGAGAUCUUCUUUUUUUUUUCUUUUUUUUUUCUUUUUUUUUUUGAGAGAUAGGUAGCACGCUAUCCGCUUCGUUUAUUUCAUUUAGAAAUAAACUUAGCUGAAAAUGUGAAUCAACUAGGAUUCGAACUUAGGUCUCGGGUACCAAGUACCAACCACCAAGCCCUUUGUCACUUACUCUAGGGACGGUCGGUGAGAUCUAAAAUUUUGAAACAAAGUUUUGAUAAAAGAGAGGAAAGUGAUGAAGGGAGAGGAAAGAUAGGUGUUUGUCAGAGAGGAUUUUGAAUAGUUUACUUUGGAAUGCGCCAAUUUGGAAUUGAGAGCUGGAUUGAACUACACAUGGAUUAGGCCAUUCCCAUUCUAAAGCAAAAUGAGAAUCGAAAUCCGACUCCUGUAAACCAAACAACAACUAUCGGAAUCAAUAAAUCUCAUCCCGACUCCAUAAUCUAAAAUAAUUAAACCAAACAAGCCCUAAAUAUAUAAGCCAUUUAUCUGCUUAAUUA
Molecule: long non-coding RNA, 624 nt
Filed under: Ananas comosus (pineapple)
Lineage: Eukaryota; Viridiplantae; Streptophyta; Magnoliopsida; Poales; Bromeliaceae
Description: long non-coding RNA (ACOM_LNC030178)
Source: RNAcentral